RNAcentral lists this long non-coding RNA (1127 nucleotides) under Struthio camelus australis. RNAcentral describes it as "lncRNA (ENSSCUG00000005829.1)". The record is from RNAcentral. Lineage: Eukaryota; Metazoa; Chordata; Aves; Struthioniformes; Struthionidae.
GUUGUGGCUAAGUUAUAAGGCAUUCACAUCUCUGAGCCUCAAGAACACACGUGAGUUAGGGGACGAUUUUCAGGGUAUGCAGACUCACGUUGCAUUCAGACUCCCAUCCUGCCAAGAAAAACAUCUAUGGAAAAGCUACUUUUCAGUUAAUUCUUUAAAUGGUGACUUGCACUGGUUAGGCAUCUCAGGAAGCUCAAAGUUAUCACUGUUCAAAAUGUUCCCAAUGAUGUUUUUUGUUAACCGAGUUCAUGCCACAUGAGCACUUGUUAUGCACACCACAUGGACAGGACAUCCAUGUGGACAGGAACAUCUGUCGUUAGUGUUGUUCAUCUUUGCAUAUGCACCUUUCAAUUUAAGGACCAUUUGGAGGCCUCCUGAGGAUGUUCUGUACCACCAGGAAGAUCUAUAAAGAUGAGGGGGAAGGUCUGUGUGGAAAAUAUGCAUCAUCAAUUGAACGAAGAAGAAAGCGAGGAGUCAGAGGAGGACAGCAGACACACUGUUGAUUCAGAUCAGCAGGGUGUGCUGGUGUGGCCACAGCCCGAAUAUAUCCUUGACCGCCUCAUGUGCCGAGACUUGCCCCAGAGCCGGAAUGGAGAGCUUGCGCCACUGCUGCACCUUGGGAACCGUCCCCGGCGCUUUGGAGCGGGAGCCAGCGAAAGCAGCGGUCUGCGGGCCGGGGGCAGGCCUUGUCUGGGGCAAAGCCCCCCUAGUGCAGUGCCCACUCCGAAGGGCAUUUUAUGGAGAGGGGACCCCGUGAAAAGAGAGAGGGAAAUCACUGCAAAGAAAGUAAAUUUCUUGGAGAGUGGUCUGGAAAAGGCAAAAGGGGAGAAAUAUGACCAUAUGCUAGGCUAUGGUAGAAAAAUAAAAUGGCUUUGUGUCUGGUUCUUGAUGAUGCGUAUGUGUUUAAAAAACAAACAAACAAACAAACAAAAGUACUCCUCUCCUUUAUUUGAUUAAAAGGGUCAAGAGAGGCUUUUCACCUCCUCUGUCGUUGUGGGAGAAUCCCCUGGAUGAUUGUUCUGUCCUGGAAAAUGUCUAAUCUCAACUGAAAAGGAAAAUCCAUCCUAUCUUUCCAGGAAUCAUUUCCAGCCUGUGGGCAGCAGACUCCUGGAGUUUCACAACUGCCG